CAUAUUAGUAAGCGGAGGAAAAGAAACUAACCAGGAUUCCCUUAGUAGCUGCGAGCGAACAGGGAAGAGCCCAGCACUGAAUCCCCGAGGCCUAGCUUCGAGGGAAAUGUGGUGUUUGGGAGGGUUCAUAUACCUGAUACUGCUGCACCGCGUCCAAGUCCAUCUUGAAUGAGGCCACGGUCCCGAGAGGGUGCCAGGCCCGUAGCUGGCCGGUGCUGGUGUUGGGUGAACCUCUCCUUAGAGUCAGGUUGCUUGAGAGUGCAGCCCUAAGCGGGUGGUAAACUCCAUCUAAGGCUAAAUACAACCACGAGACCGAUAGCGAACAAGUACCGUGAGGGAAAGUUGAAAAGAACUUUGAAGAGAGAGUUCAAGAGUACGUGAAACCGCUCAGGGGUAAACGGAAAAGACCCGAAAUUUCCGAAAGGGGAGAUUCACGUCUUCUCGCUGGCUCGACUCCUUGUCCAUUGUCGACGGUUCUAUGCCUCAUUCGAACUCGUUCGGAGCGAGUGGUGGAGCCGCACUGGUCGAGGAUGUAGGGUCGCGGCAGACCGCACUUCUCCCCUAGUAGGACGUCGUGACCCGUCCGAUCAUGGUCUAAGAGUGUGUUUGGGAGCCUGUUUGUGUUGUUUCGGCAAUUCACGAGCAGACCUUCGCAUUUCUGGCCAUGAAUGCUUCGGUCGGUAUCAAAAGACAGUGUUGGAUCGCUCUGCGGAGGGAGAAAUCCUUCUUCGAGAGCGCGAUUGGUCCUUGGCAAGGUAGUGAGUCGCGUUAGUCAAGACGGGCCUACGUCCGUCUGACUGCUCUCGCUCCUGUUGGUCGAGGUACUCUAUCGCCGGGUCAAUUUUUUAUGGGCACUAGUUCUACGGCGAAAUCAGUUUUUGGGGCUCUUGUUCCGACCCCGGUCUUGAAAACACGGGACCAAGGGAGUUUAGCGUGUGUGCGAGUCAUUGAGUGUAAAAACUCAAAGGCGAAAUGAAAGUGAAGGGAACUUUACGUUUCUGAGGGAAGAUGAGACGGUUUCUUUUCCAAGAGCCUCUCCGCACUCCCGGGGCGUCUCUAUCUCAUUGCGAGAGGAGGCGCACCUAUAGCAUACACGCUGAUACCCGAAAGAUGGUGAACUAUGCCUGGCCAGGACGAAGCCAGGGGAAACCCUGGUGGAGGUCCGCAGCGAUUCUGACGUGCAAAUCGAUUAAACUAUGAAGCCAAGGGGUUUCGGAUCAGAGUGCCAAGUGGGCCAAUUUUGGUAAGCAGAACUGGCGCUGUGGGAUGAACCAAACGCCGGAGUUAAGGCGCCUCAAUCGACGCUCAUGUGAGACCAUGAAAGGCGUUGGUUGCUUAAGACAGCAGGACGGUGGCCAUGGAAGUCGGAAUCCGCUAAGGAGUGUGUAACAACUCACCUGCCGAAGCAACUAGCCCUGAAAAUGGAUGGCGCUGUAGCGUCGUGCCUAUACUCCGCCGUCAACGGCAACGCAGGCAGUCCUCUCACGGGGACGGCGCUGUUAAGCCUUGACGAGUAAGAGGGCCGCGGCGAUGUGCGCAGAAGGGUUUUGGGCGUGAGCCUGCCUGGAGCCGUCGUCGGUGCAGAUCUUGGUGGUAGUAGCAAAUACUCCAGCGAGGCCCUGGAGGACUGAUGUGGAGAAGGGUUUCAUGUGAACAGCUGUUGCACAUGAGUCAGUCGAUCCUAAGCCCUAGGAGAAAUCCGAAGCGAUGGGUUGCCGUUAAACGUUAACAAGCUUGAUGUUGGCACCAUUUGGGCGAAAGGGAAUCUGGUUCCUAUUCCAGAACCUGGCAGUGGAACCGUUCCAAAUCGGGCCCUCAUUGAGGACUCGUCAGGGCAACCUGAAAGGACCCGGAGACGCCGUCGGGAGAUUCAGGGAGAGUUGUCUCUUCUCUAUAAGCGAUCGAGUUCCCUGGAAACCUCUAGCAGGGAGAUAGGGUUUGGAUCGCGAAGAGCACCGCAGUUACGGCGGUGUCUGAAUCUUCCCCACGGACCUUGAAAAUCCGGGAGAGGGCCACGAGGAAACCCCACGCCAGAUCGUACCCAUAUCCGCAGCAGGUCUCCAAGGUGAAAAGCCUCUAGUCG
This 2083-nucleotide ribosomal RNA is filed under the name Naranjakotta sp. G STC-2019. Its description in RNAcentral is "partial large subunit ribosomal RNA". It matches the Rfam family "Eukaryotic large subunit ribosomal RNA", at positions 39 to 1889 of the family's 3401-position model. Lineage: Eukaryota; Metazoa; Arthropoda; Insecta; Hemiptera; Miridae. The record is from RNAcentral.